This 319-nucleotide ribosomal RNA is filed under the name Hygrophorus sordidus. RNAcentral's name for it is "LSU rRNA". It matches the Rfam family "Bacterial large subunit ribosomal RNA", at positions 1719 to 2051 of the family's 2925-position model. Lineage: Eukaryota; Fungi; Basidiomycota; Agaricomycetes; Agaricales; Hygrophoraceae. The record is from RNAcentral.
UAGUUAUUAUCUACCAGAAGCGUAAUAAGAUAAUUUUAAAUUUUAACGGUGGCACAGAAUCGGAAGCCCCGACUGUUUACUAAAAACACAGAUCGCUGCAAUGAUUAAUAUCAUAGUAUAGCGGUCGAAAUUUGCCCGAUGCCAUUAAUAUAAGAGAGGUUAUGGGAAACUGUGACUAAUCGAAAGUCUGGUUAAUAGCGGUCUUAACUAUGAGGAUCCUAAGGUAGCAAAAUAAAUUGGCCAUUAAAUGUGGUCCGGUAUCAAUAAUUUAACGAUGGCUUCACUGUCUCUACAACUUGCUCAGUGAAAUUGAAUUACC